RNAcentral lists this ribosomal RNA (482 nucleotides) under uncultured bacterium. RNAcentral's name for it is "bacterial SSU rRNA". It matches the Rfam family "Bacterial small subunit ribosomal RNA", at positions 30 to 507 of the family's 1533-position model. The record is from RNAcentral.
AUUGAACGCUGGCGGCAUGCCUUACACAUGCAAGUCGAACGGUAACGGGCCUUCGGGUGCCGACGAGUGGCGAACGGGUGAGUAAUACAUCGGAACGUGCCCGAUCGUGGGGGAUAACGAAGCGAAAGCUUUGCUAAUACCGCAUACGAUCUACGGAUGAAAGCAGGGGACCGCAAGGCCUUGCGCGAACGGAGCGGCCGAUGGCAGAUUAGGUAGUUGGUGGGAUAAAAGCUUACCAAGCCGACGAUCUGUAGCUGGUCUGAGAGGACGACCAGCCACACUGGGACUGAGACACGGCCCAGACUCCUACGGGAGGCAGCAGUGGGGAAUUUUGGACAAUGGGCGAAAGCCUGAUCCAGCCAUGCCGCGUGCAGGAUGAAGGCCUUCGGGUUGUAAACUGCUUUUGUACGGAACGAAAAGACUCUGGUUAAUACCUGGGGUCCAUGACGGUACCGUAAGAAUAAGCACCGGCUAACUACGUG